AAGGUUAUAGUGCAAAUCAACAGCCUAGCCCUAACCCAGGGAGUUACCCUCCACCAAGUCAGUCGGGGUACGGAAUGACUGCACCUUCCCAAACUGGCUAUGGAAAUCAACCAGCUGCUCAGGCUGCGUAUGGGGCUGCUUAUGGAGCUCCUCAGACUCAGAAACAGCCUGCGAAUCCGCCGGCAUAUGGUCAGAGCACUCAGUCACCAAGCACGCCCAGUGGCUAUGGGCAACCUGCUGCAUUGCCGUCUGGAUAUUCAGGUUCUCAGCCUCCCACAUCUGGGUACACUCAAUCAGAUUCUGCUACUCAACGUGCUCCACCAUCCGGUUAUGGUACUGCAGCUCAGCCAGGGUUUGCACCACCGCCUUAUGGUGUUCCUCCAACAAAUCAGCCAGCAUACGGGCAAGCUCCAGCACCUUAUAGCUCCUCUUAUGGUGCUGGUUACCCUCAGCCCCAAUAUUCAUCUGAAGGUAAUGCAGGUGGCGCUACUCGUGGGGGCUACGAUUCUGCGUCGGCUGCUCAGACAGCGCCCCAAAGUGGGGUUGUAAAAGCAUCACCAAAAAGUUGAUCAAUGUAUGUGUGUUUAGGUGUGUAUGUUGCGGAGGACGGUUAACUUUGUUCCCUAUGGUUAGUUUUUAUUAGGCCAGGUAGUGUUAUGAGACCUCAUUU
RNAcentral lists this unclassified non-coding RNA (670 nucleotides) under Hevea brasiliensis (rubber tree). The record is from RNAcentral. Lineage: Eukaryota; Viridiplantae; Streptophyta; Magnoliopsida; Malpighiales; Euphorbiaceae.